GCUAUGCAUCCAACGCGUUGGGAGCUCUCCCAUAUGGUCGACCUGCAGGCGGCCGCGAAUUCACUAGUGAUUCGUAUUACCGCGGCUGCUGGCACGAAGUUAGCCGGGGCUUAUUCUGCGGGUACCGUCAUCAUCGUCCCCGCCAAAAGAGCUUUACAACCCGAAGGCCUUCAUCACUCACGCGGCAUGGCUGGAUCAGGGUUGCCCCCAUUGUCCAAUAUUCCCCACUGCUGCCUCCCGUAGGAGUCUGGGCCGUGUCUCAGUCCCAGUGUGGCUGAUCGUCCUCUCAGACCAGCUAACGAUCGUCGCCUUGGUGAGCCAUUACCUCACCAACUAGCUAAUCGUACGCGGACUCAUCUUUUGGCGAUAAAUCUUUAUCCCGUAGGAACCAUCCGGUAUUAGCCCCAGUUUCCCGGGGUUAUUCCGAACCAAAAGGCAGAUAUCCACGCGUUACUCACCCGUGCUCCACUCGUGCAUUGCUGCACGCGUUCGACUUGCAUGUGUUAAGCCUGCCGCCAGCGUUCGUUCUGAGCCAUGAUCAAACUCUAAUCGAAUUCCCGCGGCC
RNAcentral lists this ribosomal RNA (565 nucleotides) under uncultured Alphaproteobacteria bacterium. Its description in RNAcentral is "partial 16S ribosomal RNA". Lineage: Bacteria; Pseudomonadati; Pseudomonadota; Alphaproteobacteria. The record is from RNAcentral.